AACAUACUCCCUCCGUCCCAAAAAUCUUGUCUUAGAUUUGUUUAGAUGUGAAUGUAUCUAGUCAAGUUUUGGUACUUAGAUACAUCCAUUUUUACAUAAAGCUAAGAUAAGAAUUUUAGGAUGGAGGGAGUAGUAU
Molecule: microRNA precursor, 136 nt
Filed under: Hordeum vulgare
Lineage: Eukaryota; Viridiplantae; Streptophyta; Magnoliopsida; Poales; Poaceae
Description: microRNA MIR1122
Rfam family: MIR1120/MIR1122 microRNA precursor family
Source: RNAcentral